GCAGCUGAAGGAGCUGGCUGGGGGCGGCCGGAGUCUCUUCUGCCUAGUGCGCGAAGGGCUUCAAAGUCGUUUCAGGUCCGGCAGGAGGAGGCGAGAGAGAAAAGAAGAAGAAGAAGAAGAAGAAGAAGAAGAAGCGGGGGAAAGCGCAAGCAAGAAACCUGGAAAGGGUAAAUGUUAUGCAAAGCUCAGAGGAGGACUAAGAAAAAAAUAAUUGCCUUUGAUAUUGAGAAGAAAGUUUUUGAUGAUGAGUUACUGGCACUUGGACAAAAGAAGUUGUCUUCAGUACUGCAGACAUUUUUUAGUGGACAAUAGUGUUUUUCAUGGUAAGA
This is a non-coding RNA of Python bivittatus (Burmese python), 329 nucleotides long. The record is from RefSeq and is a predicted model, not a curated record. NCBI's taxonomy places the organism in Eukaryota, Metazoa, Chordata, Lepidosauria, Squamata, Pythonidae.